RNAcentral lists this unclassified non-coding RNA (342 nucleotides) under soil metagenome. RNAcentral's name for it is "partial contains 5.8S ribosomal RNA, internal transcribed spacer 2, and large subunit ribosomal RNA". The stretch from base 1 to 120 matches the Rfam family "5.8S ribosomal RNA", at positions 35 to 154 of the family's 154-position model. The record is from RNAcentral.
GAUGAAGAACGCAGCGAAAUGCGAUACGUAAUGUGAAUUGCAGAAUUCAGUGAAUCAUCGAAUCUUUGAACGCACAUUGCGCCCGCCAGCACUCUGGCGGGCAUGCCUGUUCGAGCGUCAUUUCAACCAUCAAGCCCCCAGGGGCUUGUGCUGGGGCCCUGCGGCUGCCCGCAGGCCCUGAAAACCAGUGGCGGGCUCGCUAGUCACACCGAGCGCAGUAGCACAUCUCGCUCAGGGCGUGCGGCGGGCUCCUGCCGUGAAACCCCCCACUGUAACCCCAAAGGUUGACCUCGGAUCAGGUAGGAAUACCCGCUGAACUUAAGCAUAUCAAUAAGCGGAGGA